AGACUGUAGUAUGCAGGUAAAAAUUAUUCAAAAAGAAUUUUUAAAUAGCAGGAAAAGGCAAUAUAAUAUAAUCAGAAUCCAAGUACUUCCAGAGAAGUCUUUCAAGGUAGCAUGGUAAAAUUGGAUGUAAGGGAAGAAAAGCAUAUUUUGAACGAACAAGUCUUAAAGAAAGAAUUCUAAGUGCAACAAUUGUUGGGUUGUUCUCCAUCUUAACAGUCCACAAUUCACACACAUUGUUUAAGCAGCACAUGAGAUUGGUUGUAUCCAUUGCCAAGCGGGUUGAUACUUGGUACUUCACUCACCACACUCGCCACGGCUUAGAAGGGCAUGGUGGUGUGCCUGUGGUCCAGCUUCUACCGGGGAAAGCUUUAGGAUUUGAGUCUGCUGAGAAACCUGAGAGUGAGCGUCCCCACGUGAAAGCUGGCACUUCCAUUUUUUUUUUAAUACUAUCGUUCCAGAAUCAUCAGAACAUGCAGAUUAUUUUUCUUUUUAAUUUUUUUUGGCCAUGCUGCGUGGCAGGCAGGGUCAUAGUUCCCUGACCAGGGAUUGAACCCAUGCCCCCUGCAGCGGAAGCGUAGAGUCCUAACCACUGGACCGCCAGGGAAGUCCCUCAAUCAUUUUGAACUGUACAAUUUAGUGGUAUUAAUUACAUUCACACUGUUGUACAACAAUCACCACCAUCUAUUUCCAAAACUUUUUCAUCACUCCAAACAGUACCCAUUAACCAUCAACCCCCCAUCUUCCCUCGCCCCAGCUCCAGGUAAUGUCUAAUCUACUUCCUGUCUCUACAAAUUUCCCCAUUCUCGAUGUUUCAUAUAAGUGGAAUCAUACAAUAUUUGUCCCUUUGUGUCACCCAGCAUAAUGUUUUCAGGGUUUAUCCACGUUGUAGCCUGUAUCAGGACCUUAUUCCUUUUAAUGGCUGAAUAAUAUUCCAUUGCAUACCAAAUUUUUCUCAUCCAUUCAUCUGCUGAGGGACACUUGGGCUGUGUUCAUUUGCUGUUAACAAACAUGAUCAUGGUAUACACAAUUCUGGCAGCUUUUUUCCCUUUUACUUAAUACAUUUCAGCUAUCUAUCCUAAAUUUUUAAAAGCCACAUUAUUCUAGUAGAUGGAAGUACCGUCAUUUAUUUACUACUCUUCUAACAACAGAUGUAGAAACUGCUGUCAUAUUUCAGCCAGUAAAACAGUGCUAGAGUGAACAUACUAGUACAUCAUUUUGCAUUUCUACCAGGUUUCCUGGAAGAUGAACUCCUAAAAGUGCUAUUAGCUGGUCAACAGGAAUGUGCAUUUAACAUUUUGAUAGAUACUGCCAAGUUAGCUUCCAGAAAUGUCACCCCUAUUGACAUUCUUAUCAACAGAGACCAUGAGAGCUUUUUUGUCCAUAUCUUUCCCACAAGAAUUACUUGGAAUUUCUUUCAUCCUUGCCAGUCUGACAGGUGAUGAGUUUGCUAAUUUGAAGUUGGUAUAAGGAAGGAUGUACAGGUGUGCCAUGAGAGCAGAGGGUGCUCAGGGGUGAAGUUUGAGGGUGUCAGAGUCCUCUAGACCAAAGCAGAGAACAGAAUUCCAGGACCAGAAGGGGUUCUGCUUGUUUCUAUAAUCAGGGCUGAUUUCAGUAGAAAUACACACAUGCAGCUGCACUGAAUGCUAAAAUACUGAAAACUCCUCCAUAGUGUUUGGCAAUAGAUCACUGUCCUGAGCUCCACCCGUGAAUCGCAACCCACCUUCCCCCAAUCCAGCAGCUGAAGGGUUAAAAACCCUGCCCAGCACCAUUGCCGAUGCCAGCUCAACUUGAUCUUUAUUUGUGCUGACUGGUUGUUAAUACUCAGAAUAUCGCUCCUGCCUACAUGAGUCUAAUUUUUUGUGAGACCCACUGAUUCCCUCCUCACUCUAUUUCUGAACCUCUAACACUGUAGAGCAAUCAUCUAUUUCAUUUACGAGACCUGUGCUCCUGAGGGCAGGAAGCCUGUCUUUCUCAUUCAUUCUUUCACUCACCAAAUGUUUUUCGAGCACUUUGUACAUUGCAGUUGCUGAACCAGGAUCCCAGAAUAUCACUGUGAAAAGGCAAACACCAUCUUGGGCCUCACAGAAUUUACGUACUUUUUUACUUACCAGUAAAAAGGGCAGGUGAAAAAUAACUGAACAGCCAAAUAAAGAAAAUAACUCCCAAUAAUCAUGAGUGCUAU
RNAcentral lists this long non-coding RNA (2182 nucleotides) under Delphinapterus leucas (beluga whale). RNAcentral's name for it is "lncRNA (ENSDLEG00000007727.1)". The record is from RNAcentral. Lineage: Eukaryota; Metazoa; Chordata; Mammalia; Artiodactyla; Monodontidae.